This 395-nucleotide ribosomal RNA is filed under the name uncultured bacterium. RNAcentral describes it as "partial 16S ribosomal RNA". It matches the Rfam family "Bacterial small subunit ribosomal RNA", at positions 356 to 767 of the family's 1533-position model. The record is from RNAcentral.
GGGGAAUAUUGGACAAUGGGGGCAACCCUGAUCCAGCAAUGCCGCGUGUGUGAAGAAGGUUUUCGGAUUGUAAAGCACUUUCGACGGGGACGAUGAUGACGGUACCCGUAGAAGAAGCCCCGGCUAACUUCGUGCCAGCAGCCGCGGUAAUACGAAGGGGGCUAGCGUUGCUCGGAAUGACUGGGCGUAAAGGGCGUGUAGGCGGUUUACACAGUCAGAUGUGAAAUCCCCGGGCUUAACCUGGGAGCUGCAUUUGAUACGUGUAGACUAGAGUGUGAGAGAGGGUUGUGGAAUUCCCAGUGUAGAGGUGAAAUUCGUAGAUAUUGGGAAGAACACCGGUGGCGAAGGCGGCAACCUGGCUCAUGACUGACGCUGAGGCGCGAAAAGCGUGGGGA